RNAcentral lists this ribosomal RNA (518 nucleotides) under Lichtheimia corymbifera. RNAcentral describes it as "eukaryotic LSU rRNA". The stretch from base 147 to 300 matches the Rfam family "5.8S ribosomal RNA". The record is from RNAcentral. Lineage: Eukaryota; Fungi; Mucoromycota; Mucoromycetes; Mucorales; Lichtheimiaceae.
ACUUGAGCAAUGGGCUGGCCUUAGGGGCCCCUAGUAUGUUUAUCAUACUAACCCCAAAGGUUUUUUCUACUAUGUCUAUGAAUUGAUGUAUGAAAAAAAAGUUAUUUGUUAACUUGAAGGCUUCUGUAAAAAGAGUCUUUAAAAACAACUCUUGGCAAUGGAUCUCUUGGUUCUCGCAUCGAUGAAGAGCGUAGCAAAGUGCGAUAAUUAUUGCGACUUGCAUUCAUAGUGAAUCAUCGAGUUCUUGAACGCAUCUUGCGCCUAGUAGUCAAUCUACUAGGCACAGUUGUUUCAGUAUCUGCAUCCACCAAUCAACUUAACCUUUUGUGUUGAGUUGGAACUGGGCUUCUAGUUGAUGGCAUUUAGUUGCUGUCAUGGCCUUAAAUCAAUGUCCUAGGUGUUAGAACAUCUAACACCGGAUGGAAACUUUAGAGCGCUUUAAGAGCAGCUUGGUUAGUGAGUUCAAUAAUUCCAAGCAUUAAGUCUUUUAAUGAACUAGCUUUUCUAUCUAUGGGACA